RNAcentral lists this unclassified non-coding RNA (979 nucleotides) under Hevea brasiliensis (rubber tree). Lineage: Eukaryota; Viridiplantae; Streptophyta; Magnoliopsida; Malpighiales; Euphorbiaceae. The record is from RNAcentral.
AAAAAAGCAUCUCAUACAAGUUCUGAGGAGUCGGACUCAGAUAGCUCCUCAGAUGAGCAAACUGAGUUACCUGCAAAGGCUUCAGCUCCACAGAUUGUUCCACAGGGAACUACCAAAAAAAAUGCUGAACCAAGUAGUAGCUCUGAUGAAAGUGAGAGCUGUGAUGACAGUGAUUCUGAUGAAGAAAAGGCUGCUUCUGCAAAGGCCCCUGCUUCUAAGAGGGUUGCUUUACCAGCAAUACAAAUAACAAAGCUCAAUCUAGUGAUGAUUCUGAUGAUAGUGAUUCUGAUAAGGAUAAGGGCACAACCACAAAGGCAAUAACAGCUGUUUUGAAAGUGCAGACAUCAGAAAAGAGUGAUGGGAAUGGCAGUUCUGAAAGCGAGUCUGAUGACUCUGACUCUGAUGCUUCUGCAGCCAAGGCUGCUGUUGGUUCAAAAAGGCCAUCUUCAGUGGCUCAAACUAAGGAAUCAAAAAAGGUUAAGAUAGCUCAAAAGGAAAGCAGCAGUUCUGAGGAGAGCUCCAGUGAUAGUUCAGAUGAUGAAGAAGAAAGCGAGGAUGAUAAACCUGUGAAAACCCCAAAGAAAAAUGGCGCUGAUGUGGAAAUGGUAGAUGUUGCAACUCCACAGGCAACUGCCAAGAAGGCUGAUUUGCAAUCUGCUAAGAAAGCUCCCAAAACUCCAGUUACUCCUGAGGUUCAGUCUAUGGGAUCAAAGACAUUGUUUGUUGGCAACUUACCUUUUCAAGUUGAACGAGCUGAUGUGGAAAGUUUCUUUGAAGGUGCUGGUCAAAUUGUUGAUGUGCGCUUUGCUAUGGACAACGAUCAGAGGUUUAAGGGCUUUGGACAUGUUGAGUUUAGCACAGCUGAAGCAGCACAGAAGGCUCUUAAAUUGAAUGGUCAAAGUUUAAAUGGCCGGCGACUUAGACUUGAUUUGGCACGUGAAAGGGGUGAAAGGGGUUCGUUCGCACCUUAUAGCGGCAG